Molecule: ribosomal RNA, 292 nt
Filed under: uncultured bacterium
Lineage: Bacteria
Description: partial 16S ribosomal RNA
Source: RNAcentral
GGACUACCGGGGUAUCUAAUCCUGUUUGCUCCCCACGCUUUCGCGCCUCAGCGUCAGAACCGGACCAGUAAGUCGCCUUCGCCACUGGUGUUCUUGCGAAUAUCUACGAAUUUCACCUCUACACUCGCAGUUCCACUUACCUCUUCCGGUCUCAAGCUCUACAGUAUCGAAGGCAAUUCUGUGGUUGAGCCACAGGCUUUCACCCCCGACUUAUAAAGCCGCCUACGCGCCCUUUACGCCCAGUGAUUCCGAACAACGCUAGCCCCCUUCGUAUUACCGCGGCUGCUGGCAC